Molecule: non-coding RNA, 32 nt
Filed under: Homo sapiens (human)
Lineage: Eukaryota; Metazoa; Chordata; Mammalia; Primates; Hominidae
Also listed under: 5 other names
Source: RNAcentral
UCCGUAGGUGAACCUGCGGAAGGAUCAUUAUU